UACGUAGGGUGCGAGCGUUGUCCGGAAUUAUUGGGCGUAAAGAGCUCGUAGGCGGUUUGUCGCGUCGGCCGUGAAAACUUGGGGCUUAACCCCAAGCCUGCGGUCGAUACGGGCAGACUUGAGUUCGGCAGGGGAGACUGGAAUUCCUGGUGUAGCGGUGAAAUGCGUAGAGAUCAGGAGGAACACCCAUGGCGAAGGCAGCUCUCUGGUCGACCUCUGACGCUGAGACGCGAAAGCGUGGGGAGCGAACGGG
RNAcentral lists this ribosomal RNA (253 nucleotides) under uncultured bacterium. RNAcentral describes it as "partial 16S ribosomal RNA". It matches the Rfam family "Bacterial small subunit ribosomal RNA", at positions 524 to 776 of the family's 1533-position model. The record is from RNAcentral.